GCCCGGUUGGAGGAACUGGUCAGACUCGCGGCACUCAAAAUGCCGUGCCUUAGGGCAUGUGGGUUCGAAUCCCACACCGGGCA
Molecule: transfer RNA, 83 nt
Filed under: Streptomyces pristinaespiralis
Lineage: Bacteria; Bacillati; Actinomycetota; Actinomycetes; Kitasatosporales; Streptomycetaceae
Also listed under: 2 other names
Description: tRNA-Leu
Rfam family: tRNA
About the family: Transfer RNA (tRNA) molecules are approximately 80 nucleotides in length. Their secondary structure includes four short double-helical elements and three loops (D, anti-codon, and T loops).
Source: RNAcentral